CCCCUAGAUGUUCUGGGCCGCACGCGCGCUACACUGAACAGUUCAACAAGUCUUAACCUCGGCCGAUAGGUCUGGGUAAUCUUUGAACGCUGUUCGUGAUUGGGAUAGACCUUUGCAAUUAUGGGUCUUCAACGAGGAAUUCCUAGUAAACGCAAGUCAUCAGCUUGCAUUGAUUACGUCCCUGCCCUUUGUACACACCGCCCGUCGCACCUACCGAUUGAAUGGUCCGGUGAAAUCUCGGGACGGCGGCUUGGUCGCUUGCGUCCGACUGCUGAAACUUGAUUAAACCAUNUNAUUUAGNGGAAGGUGAANUCGUANCA
Molecule: ribosomal RNA, 320 nt
Filed under: uncultured eukaryote
Lineage: Eukaryota
Description: partial 18S ribosomal RNA
Rfam family: Eukaryotic small subunit ribosomal RNA
Source: RNAcentral